CACGUAGGCGGCUCUUUAAGUCAGGGGUGAAAUCCUGGAGCUCAACUCCAGAACUGCCUUUGAUACUGAGGAGCUCGAGUCCGGGAGAGGUGAGUGGAACUGCGAGUGUAGAGGUGAAAUUCGUGGAUAUUCGCAAGAACACCAGUGGCGAAGGCGGCUCACUGGCCCGGUACUGACGCUGAGGUGCGAAAGCGGUGGGGAGCAAACA
Molecule: ribosomal RNA, 208 nt
Filed under: uncultured bacterium
Lineage: Bacteria
Description: partial 16S ribosomal RNA
Rfam family: Bacterial small subunit ribosomal RNA
Source: RNAcentral